CAAUGAGUGUUUUGGUUGUGGACUCAGGUCUGCAGUUGAUUCUUUGCGAGUCUUCUAUGUCUUACAAACUCUAUUAGUAUGUUUUAGAAUGUCUUUUAUUGGGACUUCAUUGGCCCUUUAAACUUUAUA
Molecule: unclassified non-coding RNA, 129 nt
Filed under: uncultured Marasmius
Lineage: Eukaryota; Fungi; Basidiomycota; Agaricomycetes; Agaricales; Tricholomataceae
Description: sequence contains ITS1
Source: RNAcentral